Molecule: ribosomal RNA, 529 nt
Filed under: uncultured bacterium
Lineage: Bacteria
Description: bacterial SSU rRNA
Rfam family: Bacterial small subunit ribosomal RNA
Source: RNAcentral
AACGCUGGCGGAAUGCUUUACACAUGCAAGUCGAACGGCAGCACGGGGCAACCUGGUGGCGAGUGGCGAACGGGUGAGUAAUACAUCGGAACGUGCCCAAUCGUGGGGAUAACGUAGCGAAAGUUACGCUAAUACCGCAUACGAUCUACGGAUGAAAGCGGGGGAUCGCAAGACCUCGCGCGAAUGGAGCGGCCGAUGUCAGAUUAGGUAGUUGGUGGGGUAAAGGCUCACCAAGCCGACGAUCUGUAGCUGGUCUGAGAGGACGACCAGCCACACUGGGACUGAGACACGGCCCAGACUCCUACGGGAGGCAGCAGUGGGGAAUUUUGGACAAUGGGCGCAAGCCUGAUCCAGCCAUUCCGCGUGCAGGAUGAAGGCCUUCGGGUUGUAAACUGCUUUUGUACGGAACGAAACGGUUCUCUCUAAUACAGGGGGCUAAUGACGGUACCGUAAGAAUAAGCACCGGCUAACUACGUGCCAGCAGCCGCGGUAAUACGUAGGGUGCAAGCGUUAAUCGGAAUUACUGGGC